Callorhinchus milii (elephant shark) is the source of this 608-nucleotide long non-coding RNA. RefSeq lists it as uncharacterized. The record is from RefSeq and is a predicted model, not a curated record. Lineage: Eukaryota; Metazoa; Chordata; Chondrichthyes; Chimaeriformes; Callorhinchidae. The transcript has 3 exons.
GCACAGCAAGUGGUGGUUGUGACGAUCUUUUGUGUCAUUUUCCCAUAAGGUCAAUAACCUUAUCUGAUUAUACAACUGGAACCCAGACUGGUCUCUCACCUGCAGCAGACAGAAUCCAGGCUGAGUCUCUUUCCAGCCUGUUACAGGAUCAAUGCACUGAGCCUCUAGGAAACUUGAGAAAAGAUGCACGGAAAGAGGAAAAAUCUGAUCUGGAGUCCACAAGGUUUGGGAGCGGGAGGGGACUGAACAGGAAACCAGAUGUAAAACUCAGAGACCUGAGAGCUCCAUUAUUCUUGGAUUCCUUUGAUGAUUCCAACUCUCAGAGUAAGGAGGAGCCUAAACAAGGAGAGAGGCCAGCAAUCCAAGAUGUUUCUGUGGGGAGAUCAGAGGAAAGGUCUCUGAAGUUGUAUCAGCAAGGGCUUGUGUCCAGGUGUUUGAGGGCAUGGUCCAGUAUUGUGAAGUGGCGUUACCUUGCAGCCGAGUCUUUGCAAGAACAGCAGCUGCUGUGGAAAGGGCUACAGGCACUGCGCUGGGCCGUGGAACUCCGGCGAAAGCAGGCAGAGCUUUUGGAGAGAAGGCAGCAAGCACGACUCCUAGCUUAUUACUUC